RNAcentral lists this ribosomal RNA (235 nucleotides) under Vibrio sp. s4s13. Its description in RNAcentral is "partial 16S ribosomal RNA". It matches the Rfam family "Bacterial small subunit ribosomal RNA", at positions 837 to 1071 of the family's 1533-position model. The record is from RNAcentral. Lineage: Bacteria; Pseudomonadati; Pseudomonadota; Gammaproteobacteria; Vibrionales; Vibrionaceae.
CCGUGGCUUUCGGAGCUAACGCGUUAAGUAGACCGCCUGGGGAGUACGGUCGCAAGAUUAAAACUCAAAUGAAUUGACGGGGGCCCGCACAAGCGGUGGAGCAUGUGGUUUAAUUCGAUGCAACGCGAAGAACCUUACCUACUCUUGACAUCCAGAGAACUUUCCAGAGAUGGAUUGGUGCCUUCGGGAACUCUGAGACAGGUGCUGCAUGGCUGUCGUCAGCUCGUGUCGUGAG